UACGAAGGGGGCUAGCGUUGUUCGGAAUCACUGGGCGUAAAGCGCACGAAGGCGGCGCGUUAAGUCAGGGGUGAAAUCCUGGAGCUCAACUCCAGAACUGCCCUUGAUACUGGCGUGCUCGAGUGUGGGAGAGGUUGGUGGAACUCCGAGUGUAGAGGUGAAAUUCGUAGAUAUUCGGAAGAACCCCAGUGGCGAAGGCGGCCAACUGGCCCAUUACUGACGAUGAGGUGCGAAAGCGUGGGGAGCAAACAGG
Molecule: ribosomal RNA, 253 nt
Filed under: uncultured bacterium
Lineage: Bacteria
Description: partial 16S ribosomal RNA
Rfam family: Bacterial small subunit ribosomal RNA
Source: RNAcentral